UGUCUGAUGGUGUAAUCGGCAACACGUCUGAUUCUGGAUCAGAAGAGUCCAGGUUCGAGCCCUGGUCGGACAA
This 73-nucleotide transfer RNA is filed under the name Lentimicrobiaceae bacterium. Its description in RNAcentral is "tRNA-Gln". It matches the Rfam family "tRNA". Rfam says of the family: Transfer RNA (tRNA) molecules are approximately 80 nucleotides in length. Their secondary structure includes four short double-helical elements and three loops (D, anti-codon, and T loops). Further hydrogen bonds mediate the characteristic L-shaped molecular structure. tRNAs have two regions of fundamental functional importance: the anti-codon, which is responsible for specific mRNA codon recognition, and the 3' end, to which the tRNAs corresponding amino acid is attached (by aminoacyl-tRNA synthetases). tRNAs cope with the degeneracy of the genetic code in two manners: having more than one tRNA (with a specific anti-codon) for a particular amino acid; and 'wobble' base-pairing, i.e. permitting non-standard base-pairing at the 3rd anti-codon position. Lineage: Bacteria; Pseudomonadati; Bacteroidota; Bacteroidia; Bacteroidales; Lentimicrobiaceae. RNAcentral also lists the same sequence under 1 other name. The record is from RNAcentral.